Molecule: ribosomal RNA, 497 nt
Filed under: uncultured bacterium
Lineage: Bacteria
Description: partial 16S ribosomal RNA
Rfam family: Bacterial small subunit ribosomal RNA
Source: RNAcentral
GAUGAACGCUGGCGGCGUGCCUAAUACAUGCAAGUCGAGCGAACAGACGAGGAGCUUGCUCCUCUGACGUUAGCGGCGGACGGGUGAGUAACACGUGGAUAACCUACCUAUAAGACUGGGAUAACUUCGGGAAACCGGAGCUAAUACCGGAUAAUAUAUUGAACCGCAUGGUUCAAUAGUGAAAGACGGUUUUGCUGUCACUUAUAGAUGGAUCCGCGCCGCAUUAGCUAGUUGGUAAGGUAACGGCUUACCAAGGCAACGAUGCGUAGCCGACCUGAGAGGGUGAUCGGCCACACUGGAACUGGGACGCGGUCCAGACUCCUACGGGAGGCAGCAGUAGGGAAUCUUCCGCAAUGGGCGAAAGCUUGACGGAGCAACGCCGCGUGAGUGAUGAAGGUCUUCGGAUCGUAAAACUCUGUUAUUAGGGAAGAACAAAUGUGUAAGUAACUAUGCACGUCUUGACGGUACCUAAUCAGAAAGCCACGGCUAACUACGUG